GAUGAACGCUGGCGGCGUGCCUAAUACAUGCAAGUCGAGCGAACAGACGAGGAGCUUGCUCCUCUGACGUUAGCGGCGGACGGGUGAGUAACACGUGGAUAACCUACCUAUAAGACUGGGAUAACUUCGGGAAACCGGAUCUAAUACCGGAUAAUAUAUUGAACCGCAUGGUUCAAUAGUGAAAGACGGUUUUGCUGUCACUAAUAGAUGGAUCCGCGCCGCAUUAGCUAGUUGGUAAGGUAACGGCUUACCAAGGCAACGAUGCGUAGCCGACCUGAGAGGGUGAUCGGCCACACUGGAACUGAGACACGGUCCAGACUCCUACGGGAGGCAGCAGUAGGGAAUCUUCCGCAAUGGGCGAAAGCCUGACGGAGCAACGCCGCGUGAGCGAUGAAGGUCUUCGGAUCGUAAAACUCUGUUAUUAGGGAAGAACAAAUGUGUAAGUAACUAUGCACGUCUUGACGGUACCUAAUCAGAAAGCCACGGCUAACUACGUG
RNAcentral lists this ribosomal RNA (497 nucleotides) under uncultured bacterium. RNAcentral's name for it is "partial 16S ribosomal RNA". It matches the Rfam family "Bacterial small subunit ribosomal RNA", at positions 28 to 507 of the family's 1533-position model. The record is from RNAcentral.